Molecule: ribosomal RNA, 276 nt
Filed under: Debaryomyces subglobosus
Lineage: Eukaryota; Fungi; Ascomycota; Pichiomycetes; Serinales; Debaryomycetaceae
Description: partial 28S ribosomal RNA
Rfam family: Eukaryotic large subunit ribosomal RNA
Source: RNAcentral
GUUUGACCUCAAAUCAGGUAGGAUUACCCGCUGAACUUAAGCAUAUCAAUAAGCGGAGGAAAAGAAACCAACAGGGAUUGCCUUAGUAACGGCGAGUGAAGCGGCAAAAGCUCAAAUUUGAAAUCUGGCACCUUCGGUGUCCGAGUUGUAAUUUGAAGAAGGUAACUUUGGAGUUGGCUCUUGUCUAUGUUCCUUGGAACAGGACGUCACAGAGGGUGAGAAUCCCGUGCGAUGAGAUGCCCAAUUCUAUGUAAAGUGCUUUCGAAGAGUCGAGUU